Molecule: unclassified non-coding RNA, 1417 nt
Filed under: Hevea brasiliensis (rubber tree)
Lineage: Eukaryota; Viridiplantae; Streptophyta; Magnoliopsida; Malpighiales; Euphorbiaceae
Source: RNAcentral
UGAGAGGUGCACCCUCAAAACCUUAUUAUUAAUUAUUGCACAUCGGUUCAAUAAAUUAAAGAACAAACAAACAUUGUACCCAAGUAAUAUAGCUUAGGUAUAAAUUCACAAUCGCAGCUUUAUUCUUCAAAUCUCAUGAUAAACUCAAAACUAAAGAUAACAUUACCUAAAUGACCCGGUCAUGCGCCAUGCUAUUGGAUAAAAAAGAGAUACAGCAACCAUACAAAAGACUACUGAGGAAACACACAAUUCUUUUUUUUUCCAUUUUAAUUUUCAUGGAUCCAGACGACCAUUGUGGAAAACUGCACACAACUGAUUUGAUGUGUUCUUACAUUGUAGAAGACCACGGAAUUAUUUGCUUCUCGAGAAUUUGGUCGAUCCCUACAAAACUGCACAUUUCAGCAAAUCGCGAUUAUCGAGUCUCAUCCUCAAGGUUGCGGAAACCAGCAACCAAAUCAUCAUGAAGCUUCUGAAACUUGCCCACCAGAACAUCCUCUCCUUCAGCUGGAUCCUCAAACUUUUGGGACACCAAACGGUAGAACAAAUCUCCUAGACGGUGCUUAAUGAGAGUGUAAGUGAUUUUUUGUCCAUCCAUACCAGCUCCUCGCUCAACGGCCUGGUUGGCCAAGUUAUAGAAGUGGAUGAUGUUGCGCAACAUCCAAACAGAUUUGUAGAAAGGGCAGAACUUAUCAUAUGGCGUAAAAGCAUUUUGUGCAAGGUAGUCCUCCCUUAAAAGUUUUGCAGUUUCCAAGGUAAUCUUAUCUGUUUCAGCCAGAGCAUCCUUUCCGACAAGUUGAACAAUUUCAUUUAGGUCAUCCUCCCUCUGCAGCACCUCACGGGCUUUUGUCCUUAUGUUAAUAAAAUCAGGAUCAAACUUCUCAUAAAAGGACUCGAGUGCCCCUGAGUAUUUUGAAUAGGAAAUAAGCCAAUUUACAGAGGGAAAGUGUUUCCUCUGAGCCAAUUUCUUAUCCAGACCCCAGAAGACCUGAACAAUACCAAGGGUUGCAGAUGUUACAGGAUCUGAAAAAUCUCCUCCUGGAGGAGAAACGGCACCAACAAUUGUCACACUACCAGUUCUCUCUGGUCCACCAAGACACUUAACUUUACCAGCACGCUCAUAGAAAGAUGCCAAACGUGCUGCCAAAUAAGCAGGAUAUCCACUGUCUGCAGGCAUUUCUGCCAAUCGACCUGAGAUUUCACGUAAAGCUUCGGCCCAGCGAGAGGUCGAAUCUGCCAUCAUACUGACAUUGUAUCCCAUGUCUCUGAAGUAUUCUGCUAUAGUAAUACCUGUAUAGAUUGAGGCCUCACGAGCAGCCACAGGCAUGUUUGAAGUAUUAGCGACUAGUGUAGUACGUUUCAUGACAGACUCUUCACGCCCAUCAGGCAAUGUCAUUGUCAAUUGAGGGAAAUCCAUAAG